UACGUAGGAGGCGAGCGUUGUCCGGAGUUACUGGGCGUAAAGGGUGCGCAGGCGGCGUUCCGCGUGGCGAGAUGAAAUCUCCUGGCUUACCUGGGAGGGUGGUCGCCAGACGGGAGCGCUUGAGGGUCGGAGAGGGGCGUGGAAUUCCGGGUGGAGCGGUGAAAUGCGUAGAGAUCCGGAGGAACACCGACGGCGUAGGCAGCGCCCUGGACGACACCUGACGCUGAGGCGCGAAAGCUAGGGGAGCGAACGGG
This 254-nucleotide ribosomal RNA is filed under the name uncultured bacterium. Its description in RNAcentral is "partial 16S ribosomal RNA". It matches the Rfam family "Bacterial small subunit ribosomal RNA", at positions 524 to 776 of the family's 1533-position model. The record is from RNAcentral.